UACGAAGGGGGCGAGCGUUAUUCGGAAUCACUGGGCGUAAAGCGUGCGUAGGCUGUUCGGCAAGUUGGAAGUGAAAGCCCAGGGCUCAACCCUGGAAUUGCUUUCAAAACUGCCAAACUAGAAUCUCGGAGAGGAUAGCGGAAUUUCCAGUGUAGUAGUGAAAUACGUAGAUAUUGGAAGGAACACCAGUGGCGUAAGCGGCUAUCUGGACGAGCAUUGACGCUGAGGCACGAAAGCGUGGGGAU
Molecule: ribosomal RNA, 245 nt
Filed under: uncultured Sandarakinorhabdus sp.
Lineage: Bacteria; Pseudomonadati; Pseudomonadota; Alphaproteobacteria; Sphingomonadales; Sphingosinicellaceae
Description: partial 16S ribosomal RNA
Rfam family: Bacterial small subunit ribosomal RNA
Source: RNAcentral